This 481-nucleotide ribosomal RNA is filed under the name Prevotella sp. oral taxon 298. Its description in RNAcentral is "bacterial SSU rRNA". It matches the Rfam family "Bacterial small subunit ribosomal RNA", at positions 28 to 496 of the family's 1533-position model. Lineage: Bacteria; Pseudomonadati; Bacteroidota; Bacteroidia; Bacteroidales; Prevotellaceae. The record is from RNAcentral.
GAUGAACGCUAGCUACAGGCUUAACACAUGCAAGUCGAGGGGAAACGGCAUUAAGUGCUUGCACUUUUUGGACGUCGACCGGCGCACGGGUGAGUAACGCGUAUCCAACCUUCCCAUGACUAAGGGAUAACCUGCCGAAAGGCAGACUAAUACCUUAUGGUCUUCACUGACGGCAUCAGAUGUGAAGUAAAGAUUUAUCGGUUAUGGAUGGGGAUGCGUCUGAUUAGUUAGUUGGCGGGGUAACGGCCCACCAAGGCAACGAUCAGUAGGGGUUCUGAGAGGAAGGUCCCCCACAUUGGAACUGAGACACGGUCCAAACUCCUACGGGAGGCAGCAGUGAGGAAUAUUGGUCAAUGGGCGAGAGCCUGAACCAGCCAAGUAGCGUGCAGGAUGACGGCCCUAUGGGUUGUAAACUGCUUUUGUAUGGGGAUAAAGUCAAUCACGUGUGAUUGUUUGCAGGUACCAUACGAAUAAGGACCGG